AGUCGAACGGGAUCCCGGGGGUUCGCUCCCGGGUGAGAGUGGCGAACGGGUGAGUAAUGCGUGACCGACCUGCCCCAUACACCGGAAUAGCUCCUGGAAACGGGUGGUAAUGCCGGAUGCUCCGGUUGGAUGCAUGUCCUUCCGGGAAAGAUUCCAUCGGUAUGGGAUGGGGUCGCGUCCUAUCAGCUUGAUGGCGGGGUAACGGCCCACCAUGGCUUCGACGGGUAGCCGGCCUGAGAGGGCGACCGGCCACAUUGGGACUGAGAUACGGCCCAGACUCCUACGGGAGGCAGCAGUGGGGAAUAUUGCACAAUGGGCGCAAGCCUGAUGCAGCGACGCCGCGUGCGGGAUGGAGGCCUUCGGGUUGUAAACCGCUUUUGAUCGGGAGCAAGCCCUUCGGGGUGAGUGUACCUUUCGAAUAAGCACCGGCUAACUACGUGCCAGCAGCCGCGGUAAUACGUAGGGUGCAAGCGUUAUCCGGAAUUAUUGGGCGUAAAGGGCUCGUAGGCGGUUCGUCGCGUCCGGUGUGAAAGCCCAUCGCUUAACGGUGGGUCUGCGCCGGGUACGGGCGGGCUGGAGUGCGGUAGGGGAGACUGGAAUUCCCGGUGUAACGGUGGAAUGUGUAGAUAUCGGGAAGAACACCAAUGGCGAAGGCAGGUCUCUGGGCCGUCACUGACGCUGAGGAGCGAAAGCGUGGGGAGCGAACAGGAUUAGAUACCCUGGUAGUCCACGCCGUAAACGGUGGAUGCUGGAUGUGGGGCCCGUUCCACGGGUUCCGUGUCGGAGCUAACGCGUUAAGCAUCCCGCCUGGGGAGUACGGCCGCAAGGCUAAAACUCAAAGAAAUUGACGGGGGCCCGCACAAGCGGCGGAGCAUGCGGAUUAAUUCGAUGCAACGCGAAGAACCUUACCUGGGCUUGACAUGUUCCCGACAGCCGUAGAGAUAUGGCCUCCCUUCGGGGCGGGUUCACAGGUGGUGCAUGGUCGUCGUCAGCUCGUGUCGUGAGAUGUUGGGUUAAGUCCCGCAACGAGCGCAACCCUCGCCCUGUGUUGCCAGCACGUCAUGGUGGG
This 1069-nucleotide ribosomal RNA is filed under the name bacterium IARFR2341D. RNAcentral describes it as "bacterial SSU rRNA". It matches the Rfam family "Bacterial small subunit ribosomal RNA", at positions 60 to 1135 of the family's 1533-position model. The record is from RNAcentral.